GCUGGGAUGGCAGAUCGGCUAUGCACCCGCCUGCAGAGCGGGAUAGGAGGGUUCGACUCCCUCUCUCAGCU
RNAcentral lists this transfer RNA (71 nucleotides) under archaeon. RNAcentral's name for it is "tRNA-Cys". It matches the Rfam family "tRNA". Rfam says of the family: Transfer RNA (tRNA) molecules are approximately 80 nucleotides in length. Their secondary structure includes four short double-helical elements and three loops (D, anti-codon, and T loops). The record is from RNAcentral.